Molecule: ribosomal RNA, 246 nt
Filed under: uncultured Actinomycetes bacterium
Lineage: Bacteria; Bacillati; Actinomycetota; Actinomycetes
Description: uncultured actinobacterium partial 16S ribosomal RNA
Rfam family: Bacterial small subunit ribosomal RNA
Source: RNAcentral
GACGAACGCUGGCGGCGUGCUUAACACAUGCAAGUCAAGCGGUAAGGCCCUUUCGGGGGUACACGAGCGGCGAACGGGUGAGUAACACGUGGGUGACCUGCCCUCAGCUCUGGGAUAAGCCUGGGAAACCGGGUCUAAUACUGGAUAUGACUCCAUGACGCAUGUUGUGGGGUGGAAAGCCUUGUGCGGCCGAGGAUGGGCCCGCGGCCUAUCAGCUUGUUGGUGGGUGAUGGCCUACCAAGGCGA